Molecule: ribosomal RNA, 491 nt
Filed under: uncultured bacterium
Lineage: Bacteria
Description: partial 16S ribosomal RNA
Rfam family: Bacterial small subunit ribosomal RNA
Source: RNAcentral
AGUGAACGCUGGCGGUAGGCCUAACACAUGCAAGUCGAACGGCAGCACAGUAAGAGCUUGCUCUUACGGGUGGCGAGUGGCGGACGGGUGAGGAAUACAUCGGAAUCUACUUUUUCGUGGGGGAUAACGUAGGGAAACUUACGCUAAUACCGCAUACGACCUACGGGUGAAAGCAGGGGAUCUUCGGACCUUGCGCGAUUGAAUGAGCCGAUGUCGGAUUAGCUAGUUGGCGGGGUAAAGGCCCACCAAGGCGACGAUCCGUAGCUGGUCUGAGAGGAUGACCAGCAACCCUGGAACUGAGACCCGGUCCAGACCCCUACGGGAGGCAGCAGUGGGGAAUUUUGGACAAUGGGCGCAAGCCUGAUCCAGCCAUACCGGGGGGGUGAAGAAGGCCUUCGGGUUGUAAAGCCUUUUUGUUGGGAAAAAAAAGCAGCAGGUUAAUCCCCCGCUGUUCUGACGGUACCAAAAAAAUAAGCACCGGCUAACUUCGU